Ictalurus furcatus (blue catfish) is the source of this 1068-nucleotide long non-coding RNA. RefSeq lists it as uncharacterized. The record is from RefSeq and is a predicted model, not a curated record. The transcript has 2 exons. Lineage: Eukaryota; Metazoa; Chordata; Actinopteri; Siluriformes; Ictaluridae.
UUUUUUUUAGUGAAACUUCCACCUGCAUCUGCUCUUCUCCUUUUCCUGAGUCACGAGUGCGAGUGCAUGUGGUCCUUCUCUAUUCCUAGGCGAUGGCCUCUGUCUUUUUUUCCCUUACUGUGCUCUGGGUGGUGCUGGCUCAAAUUUAGCCUAUUACCCAAAAACACUUAAAAUUCAACAUAGAAGCAAAUACUCACAUCUACCUCUGAACCCAGUUGGAGAUAGAAAAAAGACACCAGCCGUGAGUGAGAAGGAGCAAGGGUCCAGAUUUAUUGGUUCCGUUCCAACACACGAGAUCCACACCGAUGAGAAUUCUCAGAAGUGAUCUGACACCUGGAGCUCAAGCUCCAGUAUUUAUACUGUAUUUACACAGUAGAUAACCAAUAUAUUUCAGAAAGACUAUGAUAUCAAUACCAAUAGGGUUAAAAAAGAGCUCAUCUACAUUAAGAUUAGGUUCUGAAAGAGGCCUUUCCAAUUUACCAUUAGGUUCAAAAGUGGAGAGAGACAAAACAAUUUAGAGAGACCUUGGUCUCACUCUUAUCUCGCAGGGGCAGCUUGACUCAGCUACCCUUAUAAAUGGCUCCUCAUGGUUUUCUCUUAAAAUUACGGCCUUCCUUGCGAGACAAGAAUCUUCACCAUCUGAAUUAUGAGUGCCCGUCUGGAUCUGGAUCUGGACACUCUCUAUCAGCCCGCGCAUCUCACUGCUGACAUCAUGGUGCUACUUAACGUUCUUCGCAGCACCCCCUCUGGAAAUGGAAAUGCGGGGUUCCCCCCCCUCUCCAAUACAGAAUCCACCCCGUGAAUGUGUGUACUGACGCCUCUACACAGACAGAACCUCCCUCCAGAUUUCAGUCUGAGGAAGAUGUCACCUUCUCUGAUUUGGGCUCUGACCAUUCAUCCCUCUUCUGACCUGUCAGUUCGCCCUACUCUCAGUGGUCUUCUUAUUUCACCUUUGCUGACUAUCCCAUGUCCCCAGGACACACCCCAUUUUCUUCCCCCUACCGCUCUCCUCAAGAUUACGCACCCACCAGUCCUGUGAAUUAUCAAUAAAAUUACAUAUUACUCAUA